CAAUAGCGUAUAUUUAAGUUGUUGCGGUUAAAAAAGCUCGUAGUUGGAUUUCUGCUGAGGACGACCGGUCCGCCCUCCGGGUGAGCAUCUGGUUCGGCCUUGGCAUCUUCUUGGUGAACGUAUCUGCACUUGACUGUGUGGUGCGGUACCCAGGACUUUUACUUUGAGGAAAUUAGAGUGUUUAAAGCAGGCUUAUGCCGUUGAAUAUAUUAGCAUGGAAUAAUAAGAUAGGACUUUGGAACUAUUUUGUUGGUUUGCGUUACAAAGUAAUGAUUAAUAGGGACAGUUGGGGGUAUUCGUAUUUCGUUGUCAGAGGUGAAAUUCUUGGAUUUCCGAAAGACGAACUACUGCGAAAGCAUUUACCAAGGAUGUUUUCAUUAAUCAAGAACGAAAGUUAGGGGAUCGAAGACGAUUAGAU
Molecule: ribosomal RNA, 418 nt
Filed under: uncultured eukaryote
Lineage: Eukaryota
Description: bacterial SSU rRNA
Rfam family: Eukaryotic small subunit ribosomal RNA
Source: RNAcentral